GUGAUCCUGAAUGAAUGGCAAGUUGUCCUUUUUCAGAUAAUUCUGAUCAUUUAGAAAAUACAAGAUGAUUAUUUUUCGAUUUAUUUUGAAUAUCAGAUUUGUACUUUUGAUGAUUAUGUGUGUGCUGAUUGACUUUCCACUCCUGUUAGUUGCAGAAAAAUUUUCAUUGUGUGAUUUGAUUCUGAUUUUAUUGUUUAUUCCCUUUGGGAUCUUGCCUUUUUGUGCAAAGGGGAUUGCAUACUCUAAUAAACUUUCUGCACUGUUGGUAGUUAACUUUGUCAUAAUGGCCAGAAGUUACGAGCCUGAUGAAAUGGUGCCUGUUUCUCUGUGA
This 331-nucleotide long non-coding RNA is filed under the name Androctonus crassicauda. The record is from RNAcentral. Lineage: Eukaryota; Metazoa; Arthropoda; Arachnida; Scorpiones; Buthidae.